GUUAUUAUUGAGGUUUAAUUUUGGUAAUUAUAAUAUAUUUGAUUAGUAUUAUGAGUGAUGGUUAAGGAGUUUUUAUAGGUUAAUAGUACUGUUAAGGAAAUUAUUUUAUUUGUUAAUAAAAUUAGGUUUUUUAUUACCUUUUGUAUUAGGGUUUAUUGAUGUGCUUAAAUAUGGAUUUUGUCUCGAUGAAUAUCGGGCUAUUUUGCUAGUGUUAUUUUUGUUGAAUAAAAUUAAUUAUGGCUUAAUAGUUAUGAAAUAUUAUUCAAGUUAUUUUUUAUCUGGUUUUCUUAGAGGUAUAAUUAAAGGUAUUUUUAUUAUAAAGGUAAGUUGGGAUUAGCUAGUUUAUUGUUUGUAUAUUAAAUGGAUUUGUUUUUGUUAGUGGAGUUAAAAGUUCUUAUUUAUAAGAUGUUAUUAUAUAAUAGAUUUAUAUUUGUAUUAUUUUUUAAUAUUAUGUUGAGAUUGGGAAUGUUAAUUUAAUUUUUAUUUGAUGUUAUAAUGAUAAAAUUAGUAAUAUGUUUAUUUAUUGAUUUAGAUUAGGUAAUUUUUGAUAAUGAGGGGGUUGUGAAUUGAUUUUGAAGAAUUAGGCAAAGUUAGCUCUUGACUGUUUAGCAAAAACAUUGUUUUUUGUUUGGAUAAGAAAUAAGGUCUGUCCGCUGCUUAGGGGUGAAGGGCUGCAGUAUAUUGACUGUAUGAAGGUAGCAUAAUCAUUAGUUUUUUAAUUGGAAGCUGGUAUGAAGGUGAAACAGGGGCUUGCUAUUUUAAUGUUAAUUAGUGAAUUUUAUUUUUAUGUGAAAAAUCAUAAUUGUGUUUAAGGGACAAGAAGACCCUAGUAAGUUUUAUUUUUUGUUAUGAGGGGUAUGUAGUUUAUUAGAUUAAUAUUAUUUGUGAUUUUGAAAUUUGACUGGGGCGGUAUGUAAUAGAACAUUAUUUAAUUUUUAAUUUUUGUUAGCGUUAGUUAGACCUAAGUUGGUUAGUUGAAGGUGAAAUUACUGUAGGGAUAACAGCGUAAUUUUUUUUAAGAGUUCUUAUUGACGGGAAA
RNAcentral lists this ribosomal RNA (1039 nucleotides) under Riukiaria maculata. Its description in RNAcentral is "partial large subunit ribosomal RNA". The record is from RNAcentral. Lineage: Eukaryota; Metazoa; Arthropoda; Diplopoda; Polydesmida; Xystodesmidae.